AACGAACGCUGGCGGCAGGCCUAACACAUGCAGGUCGAACGUGAAGCCACCUUCGGGUGGUGGAAAGUGGCAGACGGGUGAGUAACGCGUGGGAACGUGCCUUUCGGUUCGGGAUAACCCAGGGAAACUUGGGCUAAUACCGGAUACGGCCUCCGGGGGAAAGAUUCAUUGCCGAAAGAUCGGCCCGCUUCGGAUUAGCUAGUUGGUGGGGUAAAAGCCUACCAAGGCGACGAUCCGUAGCUGGUCUGAGAGGAUGACCAGCCACACUGGGACUGAGACACGGCCCAGACUCCUACGGGAGGCAGCAGUGGGGAAUAUUGGACAAUGGGCGCAAGCCUGAUCCAGCCAUGCCGCGUGGGUGAAGAAGGCCCUAGGUUUGUAAACCCCUUUCAGCGGGGAAGAUAAUGACGGUACCCGCAGAAGAAGCCCCGGCUAACUCCGUGCCAGCAGCCGCCGUAA
This 459-nucleotide ribosomal RNA is filed under the name uncultured bacterium. RNAcentral describes it as "partial 16S ribosomal RNA". It matches the Rfam family "Bacterial small subunit ribosomal RNA", at positions 29 to 523 of the family's 1533-position model. The record is from RNAcentral.